CAGUCGCCGCGGGAAUACGUAGGGUGCAAGCGUUAAUCGGAAUUACUGGGCGUAAAGCGUGCGCAGGCGGUUAUAUAAGUCAGAUGUGAAAUCCCCGGGCUCAACCUGGGAACUGCAUUUGAGACUGUAUGGCUAGAGUGUGUCAGAGGGGGGUAGAAUUCCACGUGUAGCAGUGAAAUGCGUAGAUAUGUGGAGGAAUACCGAUGGCGAAGGCAGCCCCCUAGGAUAACACUGGCGCUCAUGCACGAAAGCGUGGGGAGCAAACAGGAUUAGAUACCCGCGUAGUCCCUGUCUCUUAUAA
This 301-nucleotide ribosomal RNA is filed under the name uncultured bacterium. Its description in RNAcentral is "partial 16S ribosomal RNA". It matches the Rfam family "Bacterial small subunit ribosomal RNA", at positions 509 to 809 of the family's 1533-position model. The record is from RNAcentral.